GUGGACUCUCAAGCGUGAGGUAAGGGCGUUUGGUGGAUGCCUUGGCAUGUACAGGCGAUGAAGGACGUGGCACGCUGCGAUAAGCGUCGGUGAGGUGUGAGCAACCUUUGACCCGACGAUUUCCGAAUGGGGAAACCCACCUAUCCCGAUUAUUCCUAGUUUGGUUCGCCAGGUUGGGAGUAAUCGAGAAACAGGUAUCACUUAGCUGAAUAAAAUAGGCUUCGUGAAGCGAACCCGGAGAACUGAAACAUCUCAGUACCCGGAGGAAAAGACAUCAACCGAGAUUCCGUUAGUAGUGGCGAGCGAACGCGGACCAGGCCAGUGCCUUCAUUUCAACUAGCAGAACAGUCUGGAAAGGCUGACCAUAGCGGGUGACAGUCCCGUAUGCGAAAGUGAUGAUGAAGGACUCGAGUAGGGCGGGGCACGUGAAACCCUGUCUGAACAUGGGGGGACCACCCUCCAAGCCUAAAUACUCGUACAUGACCGAUAGCGAACUAGUACCGUGAGGGAAAGGUGAAAAGCACCCCGAUGAGGGGAGUGAAACAGUACCUGAAACCGAACGCCUACAAGCAGUGGGAGCAUCUUUAUGGUGUGACCGCGUACCUCUUGCAUAAUGGGUCUGUGACUUAGUGUAUCAAGCAAGCUUAAGCCGUUAGGUGUAGGCGCAGCGAAAGCGAGUCUGAAUAGGGCGAUUGAGUUUGAUGCAUUAGACCCGAAACCCGGCGAUCUAGGCAUGACCAGGUUGAAGGUGGGGUAACACUCACUGGAGGACCGAACCGUUUAAUGUUGAAAAAUUAUCGGAUGAGUUGUGUUUAGGGGUGAAAGGCCAAUCAAGCCGGGAAAUAGCUGGUUCUCCGCGAAAUCUAUUGAGGUAGAGCGUCGAGCGAAUACCCUAGGGGGUAGAGCACUGGAUGGUUGCGGGCUGCGCGAGCGGUACCAAUACUAACCAAACUCCGAAUACCUAGGAGUACUACUCGGCAGACAGACGGCGGGUGCUAAGGUCCGUCGUCAAAAGGGAAACAGCCCUGACCUACAGCUAAGGUCCCCAAGUCAUCACUAAGUGGGAAAGCAUGUGGGAAUCCCAAAACAGCCAGGAKGUUGGCUUAGAAGCAGCCAUCCUUUAAAGAAAGCGUAACAGCUCACUGGUCUAAACAAGGGUUCCUGCGGCGAAAAUGUAACGGGGCUAAAGUGAUGCACCGAAGCUUAGGGUGUGUAGUUUACUACACGCGGUAGCGGAGCGUUCCGUAAGCCUGUGAAGCGAUCUGGUAAUGGGUCGUGGAGGUAUCGGAAGUGCGAAUGYWGACAUGAGUARCGAUAAAGRGGGUGAGAKRCCCYCUCGCCGAAAGACCAAGGGUUCCUGCUUAAAGYUAAUCUGAGCAGGGUKAGCCGGCCCCUAAGAYGAGSCMGAARKGSGUAGUCGAUGGGAACCACGUUAAUAUUCGUGGGCCUGGUGGUAGUGACGGAUUUCUUGUGUUGUACGUCCUUAUCGGAUUGGACGUGCUUCGACGAAGUCCCAGGAAAUAGCUCCACCGUAYAGACCGUACCCGAAACCGACACAGGUGGUCAGGUAGAGUAUACCAAGGCGCUUGAGAGAASURUSYUGAAGGAACUCGGCAAAUUGCCUCCGUACCUUCGGAAGAAGGAGGCCCUCAUUUUGCGCAAGCAGAUUGAGGGGGCACAGGCCAGGGGGUAGCGACUGUUUAGCAAAAACACAGGGCUCUGCUAAGUCGGCUUCAAGACGACGUAUAGGGCCUGACGCCUGCCCGGUGCCUGAAGGUUAAGUGGAGGGGUGCAAGCUCCGAAACGAAGCCCAGGUAAACGGCGGCCGUAACUAUAACGGUCCUAAGGUAGCGAAAUUCCUUGUCGGGUAAGUUCCGACCUGCACGAAUGGCGUAACGACUUC
RNAcentral lists this ribosomal RNA (1903 nucleotides) under Nostoc linckia z7. RNAcentral describes it as "bacterial LSU rRNA". It matches the Rfam family "Bacterial large subunit ribosomal RNA", at positions 1 to 2011 of the family's 2925-position model. The record is from RNAcentral. Lineage: Bacteria; Bacillati; Cyanobacteriota; Cyanophyceae; Nostocales; Nostocaceae.